CUUUAAAAAACAAUCUUUGAACAAGCCCGAUCCUGUCUGAUCUCAGAAGCUAAGCAAGGUCAGGCCUGGUUAGUACUUGGAUGAGAGACCACCAGGAAGACCAGGCACUGUAGGGG
RNAcentral lists this ribosomal RNA (116 nucleotides) under Pteropus alecto (black flying fox). The record is from RNAcentral. Lineage: Eukaryota; Metazoa; Chordata; Mammalia; Chiroptera; Pteropodidae.